AAUGCAAGUUGCGCCCGAAGCCACCUGGCCGAGGGCACAUCUGCCUAGGUGUCAUGCACCGUUGCCCCUAACCCCAUCUCCUUGCAAAGGGACGAGGGGGGCCUGUGGGGGCAAAAAUUGGCCUCCUAUGAGCUUCUGCAUGCGGUUGGCCUAAAAGCGAGUCCUCGGUGGCGCGCACCACGACAAUCAGUGGUUGACAAACCCUUGUGUUUCGUCGUGCAUGUCGUGUCGCUUAUUGUGUGCUCUUUGACCCUGUUGUGUCGGACUAGCGACGCUUCCAACGCAACCCCAGGUCAGGCGGGACUACAGGCUUUAA
This 316-nucleotide unclassified non-coding RNA is filed under the name uncultured fungus. RNAcentral describes it as "partial contains 5.8S ribosomal RNA, internal transcribed spacer 2, and large subunit ribosomal RNA". The record is from RNAcentral. Lineage: Eukaryota; Fungi.